UGGAGAGUUUGAUCCUGGCUCAGGACGAACGCUGGCGGCGUGCCUAAUACAUGCAAGUCGAACGCUUCUUUUUCCACCGGAGCUUGCUCCACCGGAAAAAGAGGAGUGGCGAACGGGUGAGUAACACGUGGGUAACCUGCCCAUCAGAAGGGGAUAACACUUGGAAACAGGUGCUAAUACCGUAUAACAAUCGAAACCGCAUGGUUUUGAUUUGAAAGGCGCUUUCGGGUGUCGCUGAUGGAUGGACCCGCGGUGCAUUAGCUAGUUGGUGAGGUAACGGCUCACCAAGGCGACGAUGCAUAGCCGACCUGAGAGGGUGAUCGGCCACAUUGGGACUGAGACACGGCCCAAACUCCUACGGGAGGCAGCAGUAGGGAAUCUUCGGCAAUGGACGAAAGUCUGACCGAGCAACGCCGCGUGAGUGAAGAAGGUUUUCGGAUCGUAAAACUCUGUUGUUAGAGAAGAACAAGGAUGAGAGUAACUGUUCAUCCCUUGACGGUAUCUAACCAGAAAGCCACGGCUAACUACGUGCCAGCAGCCGCGGUA
RNAcentral lists this ribosomal RNA (546 nucleotides) under Enterococcus hirae. RNAcentral's name for it is "bacterial SSU rRNA". It matches the Rfam family "Bacterial small subunit ribosomal RNA", at positions 1 to 522 of the family's 1533-position model. The record is from RNAcentral. Lineage: Bacteria; Bacillati; Bacillota; Bacilli; Lactobacillales; Enterococcaceae.